GGCUGGUCUGAAGAUAGCGAGAUAUCUCAAUUGAUUUUCCACAGUCAGUUACAGAUCAAACACCUUGUUCUACUCUUUCACCCCUUCUCACCACUGCACUUGACUAGUCUUUU
RNAcentral lists this Y RNA (113 nucleotides) under Propithecus coquereli (Coquerel's sifaka). RNAcentral describes it as "Y RNA (ENSPCOG00000005918.1)". It matches the Rfam family "Y RNA". Rfam says of the family: Y RNAs are components of the Ro ribonucleoprotein particle (Ro RNP), in association with Ro60 and La proteins. Lineage: Eukaryota; Metazoa; Chordata; Mammalia; Primates; Indriidae. The record is from Rfam by way of RNAcentral.